Molecule: long non-coding RNA, 1756 nt
Organism: Mirounga angustirostris (Northern elephant seal)
Lineage: Eukaryota; Metazoa; Chordata; Mammalia; Carnivora; Phocidae
Exons: 4
Source: RefSeq, a predicted model, not a curated record
CAAGCAGAAGUUCAAGGCAGCCUUUGAUGUCAGGGAUUAUGGUGAGCAGGGUGUGAUGGGCAGGGCAAGUGCUCCCAUCAUUUGAGGUCCAGCUGAAGCCAAACAAGACUUUCUUCUACCUCAACGAUGAGGCUCUGGGUAUGGACAUCGAGGUUUGGUAAGUCCCCUUGUCCCCAGCCUGGCCAGAGGACCAGGAAUGCCAAGAAACUGAAUGGGUGGAGAAGCAGGCCAUUUCUGUGGCACUUAAGGUAUGGUAGAGGUACUCUUUGCCACCCAUGAGAUAUUCUUGGCCACCUACAUUGUUUUGUGAGGUUGUCCAGACCAUGUCUGCCAUGUGUAGGUAGUACAGACCAUCCCUUCAGGUCUCUGGGGUUGUAUAGGACACGUCGCCCACCUAAUAAAGCCAUGCCAAGUCUCAUGGCUCGGACCAUCUCUGAAGGUCCACAAGGUAGCACAGGCAAAUUUGCCAUCUUACGAAUUGUCCAGACUGUCUCCACAGCACUAUGAGGUUGUACAGACCAUUUGUCCACCUAAGUUGUAAGGGCCAUAUCUGCCACUUCUCGACACUAUGCAGACCAUUCCUAUGCAUGCCUCCUAGGCUGCCUGAUGAGGUUUUAUGGGCUACCUCCACCAUCUUGUGAGGUUGCACAAGCUACAUCUGCAACCCAACACGAAGCUUGAUGAAACACAUUUAUCACUUCCCAGCAUUGUGUAGGUGAGCAAUGAAACCAUCUAAGUUUCCAGGGGUCACUCUGCCCCUCCCAAAGAUUUACCACCAUCCCUGCAGCCUCAUGAGGUCAUACAGGACAUCUCUGCAACCACAUGAAGUUGUAUGGGUGUUUCAGAGCCAGUGGAAUGACCUUCCACCCACCCCCAGGUAUGUAUUCAAAGAGUCAGUGGAUGGACAUGCUCUGGCCAUCUUCAGGGUGAAGUCGCAUUCCCACCGGAUGCCCAUCCAGAGCUCCCUGCAGAGAGUGGAGGUGACUGAGUCUUGACCUCUCUCCCCCACCAACUUCCCUCUCCAUCAACCCUCCUCUACUCCCCAAGAAACUAUCUCCUCUUCUCUCUCUCACCCUGAGACCAGAUCUCUGAAGGUCUGGGCCACAUCUCCCUCCAGAAGGACACACUGAUGUCCACAUUCCAAGGCCCAGAAGAGGACUACAUUGGGGCCUUAAUCUUUGUCAACAUCACCGUGUUCUCUUCAGGUGCCACCCUCACCCAAGCUCCUGGCUGAGGUCAGGACAGUGUUCUUACCCAACCUAGACAUUCCACCCAUGUGACCAUGGGCCACCUCCCAGUCCGUUUCCUCAUCAGAUAAAUGCAAAAAUGCCAGAAAGGCUGGAAGGAGCUGAGAUUGUGUUACUGUCUUUCUCUGUCUUCACCAAGACAGGCCUCCCAUACCAGCAGCCCUGCCAUUCCCCCAAGAAACUGAACCUCCUCCACAGACCUCACAGUCCCCUGUUUCUCCAGGGGGUGAGAUGGUCCAGGCUAAGACCUCCGGGGUGAAGAUCAUCCGGAGCCCAUACAGCAUCAAGUUCAUCAGGACACCCCAGUAUUUCAAGCCUGGGAUGCCCUUCUACAUUAAGGUCUUUGUCUCAAAUCCUGAUGGGUCCCCAACCUCUAGAGUCCUUGUCCGAUGCCAAGACAAACAAGACCACACCCCAGCCAAUGGAGUGGCCAUUUUGACCAUCAACACAAAUGCAAAUAAUCGGGAGAAGCUCCCUAUCUUGGUAGAAACUGAUGAGCCUCUCUGGCC